This 773-nucleotide ribosomal RNA is filed under the name Microbacterium sp. N2(2012). Its description in RNAcentral is "bacterial SSU rRNA". It matches the Rfam family "Bacterial small subunit ribosomal RNA", at positions 17 to 803 of the family's 1533-position model. The record is from RNAcentral. Lineage: Bacteria; Bacillati; Actinomycetota; Actinomycetes; Micrococcales; Microbacteriaceae.
UCCUGGCUCAGGAUGAACGCUGGCGGCGUGCUUAACACAUGCAAGUCGAACGGUGAAGCCAAGCUUGCUUGGUGGAUCAGUGGCGAACGGGUGAGUAACACGUGAGCAACCUGCCCUGGACUCUGGGAUAAGCGCUGGAAACGGUGUCUAAUACUGGAUAUGAGCUUUCACCGCAUGGUGGGGGUUGGAAAGAUUUUUCGGUCUGGGAUGGGCUCGCGGCCUAUCAGCUUGUUGGUGAGGUAAUGGCUCACCAAGGCGUCGACGGGUAGCCGGCCUGAGAGGGUGACCGGCCACACUGGGACUGAGACACGGCCCAGACUCCUACGGGAGGCAGCAGUGGGGAAUAUUGCACAAUGGGCGGAAGCCUGAUGCAGCAACGCCGCGUGAGGGAUGACGGCCUUCGGGUUGUAAACCUCUUUUAGCAGGGAAGAAGCGUGAGUGACGGUACCUGCAGAAAAAGCGCCGGCUAACUACGUGCCAGCAGCCGCGGUAAUACGUAGGGCGCAAGCGUUAUCCGGAAUUAUUGGGCGUAAAGAGCUCGUAGGCGGUUUGUCGCGUCUGCUGUGAAAUCCCGAGGCUCAACCUCGGGCCUGCAGUGGGUACGGGCAGACUAGAGUGCGGUAGGGGAGAUUGGAAUUCCUGGUGUAGCGGUGGAAUGCGCAGAUAUCAGGAGGAACACCGAUGGCGAAGGCAGAUCUCUGGGCCGUAACUGACGCUGAGGAGCGAAAGGGUGGGGAGCAAACAGGCUUAGAUACCCUGGUAGUCCACCCCGU